GGAGAUCACGGCAUCCCGGUACUGGUGGGCCACCUCCGUCCGAGUCGGCGUCCGGCGCCCCACCGGGCCGAGGCGGUGCUCAUGGCGAGCGGCCGCCGUCGCACGGCCGCCACGUGGUGGAGCAGCGCGGUGCACGUUCCCUCCUCAGCCCGCCGCACGCACGCCGCCGCGCCAUGGUGGGAGUGGAACAUCGAAGGACAGGACGGGACCGGAUCCCAGGCCCCAGCUGGAUGCGCGCACGCGGUCCAACAGCCGUGCUCGUGGGCUUGCACCGCAGCCGCCGCCGCCGCCGACGAAACCAGAGCCCACGUAGAUGAGCAUCGUCUUCUUCAUCUGGAACUUCAUCUCUAUACAUCUAUUACAUAUGAAUACGAAUGAUACAUGUAAAUAAACGGUUUGUGUUUGUAUGCAUGAAAUGCGUCUGUUCUUAUUAUUAUUGGG
RNAcentral lists this unclassified non-coding RNA (441 nucleotides) under Zea mays. RNAcentral's name for it is "misc RNA Zm00001eb299800". The record is from RNAcentral. Lineage: Eukaryota; Viridiplantae; Streptophyta; Magnoliopsida; Poales; Poaceae.